Molecule: small RNA, 26 nt
Filed under: Arabidopsis thaliana (thale cress)
Lineage: Eukaryota; Viridiplantae; Streptophyta; Magnoliopsida; Brassicales; Brassicaceae
Description: ATSL282180
Source: RNAcentral
AAAAUACCACAAAAACACAAAAAAAC